GGUAGUGUAGUUAUAGCUGCAUUAUUUGACGUUAGCGACAGAAGAAGCACCGGCUAACUCCGUGCCAGCAGCCGCGGUAAUACGGAGGGUGCGAGCGUUAAUCGGAAUUACUGGGCGUAAAGCGCAUGCAGGUGGUUUGUUAAGUCAGAUGUGAAAGACCCGGGGCGUCAACCUCGGAAUAGCAUUUGAAACUGGCAGACUAGAGUACUGUAGAGGGGGGUAGGAAUUUCAGGUGUAGCGGUGAAAUGCGUAGAGAUCUGAAGGAAUACCGGUGGCGAAGGCGGCCCCCUCGGACAGAUACUGACACUCAGAUGCGAAAGCGUGGGGAGCAAACAGGAUUAGAUACCCUGGUAG
Molecule: ribosomal RNA, 354 nt
Filed under: uncultured bacterium
Lineage: Bacteria
Description: bacterial SSU rRNA
Rfam family: Bacterial small subunit ribosomal RNA
Source: RNAcentral